UGGCCACACGUCCCUCUCGAUCUGCAAUUCUGCAUCACAUCCCGCUCUGCAGCGCGGCCGCCGCCGCCGCUGCAACCAAGCCCGCAUGAUUGGUCUGCCCAUGAGGCCCUUUACACCUGCGACUCCUCCCCCUCUGGUUGAUCGCUGCCGCUGGUCACCGCCCGUCCGCUCCCCGAUGGAUUGAUGGACGGCCGCCGGGCUGCAGCCACGCUCGUGGAUCCACAACCGCAAGCACCUGUGCGACCCGCGGCAGUGGCACUUACAGCAUCCUCGGCGGCGGGGUAGCGGCGCCAGGGCCUUGGGCUUGCUCGGCACGGGGGUGUCGCCUAGCCCGACGUCCCGACCUCGGUGGCACCUCCGGCGAGGUGCUCUGGGCCGACGCGGACGGGCCCUCCGGCAACUUCACAGGCGAGCGGAACAGCAUCCAUGGAGGCCACAACACCUCCUCUCCCUCCUACCGUCCUUCCCCCGUCCACCAUGGCCUUUUGAGUGUAUAAUCUCUUGUGAUUAUUCUCGACCAGCUUUUAGAAAUUAUGAUGACCAGGUUUCAGAAAUUAAUCUUUGCAUUUUCAGUUGUACCGUCCAUUGUAGCAUGCUGGUUCAGUUGUAUUAUCAUUUUCACUUCUGGUCAUGGCCUUUCUAUCGUGUAACUAGGUGUAUGCCACAGAUCAGCGCACACCAGAAAUCAUUUUCCAUUUCCAGAAUGAAUGCCCCCUACCCCGAGGUUUUAUUUCAUGGGGGAUGUCUUAUAUGGUCAUUGGAGAAGUAACGACCUUUGGGUGUACUGAGUACCAAACAGAAACACAUAAUGUCAUGGGUAUCAUUGAAAAUAGAUUUGACCGAACUUAAGUCUUACUCUCACAUAAGGAACAUCUUUCAGGUUGCCUCUCAGCAAAAGGUUACCUCGAAUUUCAGUCAGCCUUCCUUCAGCCAUUUCUUUUUUUUAAUUUCGUAUCGAUGCUGUUCUGGAUGAACAUGUUUCGAAUGAUGAGGUAUUGCUCUUUCUCUUGUCGGCCCAAGUUGCUGUCCCUAAUUAAGUCCAAACAGGGUUUAAGUCCAUAGUACCAAUUUUCUUAUUAACAUUUGAGGUUUCUCCAUUUUUGUGCAUAGUGUACAUUUCUCAACAAUCAUCAUUUAAUUUUUAUUGACUACCUUAUGGGAUGAACAGAUGUACCAUGAUGCAGUCAAGCCCGUAAUUCCAAUUAUAUUUCAGAGAACGAAAGCAACAUGUUUUGCUUAUGGCUAAACGGGUUAGUUCUUACAGGCAUAUAGCAAGCUUAUCUUAUACAUAAUAUUUUUACGCAUAAAUGAAUUGUGGUUUGUCACAAUUUCUGUCUUUCUGGUGAUCAUGUCAAUAUCAUAUUGCGAUCUUUUUCUGUCAUUACUAUACUGGAAUUUAUCAACUGCUUUGUGACAGAAUACAAUGUUAUCCUUUCUAAAAGGUCAGAUAGUUAUAUGUCUAUUUAAAAUGGUAAUAGUUGUAUUUUUGUUCCAUUACCGAAUAUAAUAAUCAACCUUUUCUAUGUGCCAAUUACAGAGGUUAGCAAAUAUUACCUGACUUAUGAUCAGAAUUUUUUUAGGCCAUUUAUGAUCAUAGUUUGAAUGAUUCACUUCUUUUCUUUUCAUUUGCGAACUGUUCAAAUUGCAACUGUGGGGAUAAUGUCUUUUCAUAAGUGAUGUUUAUGAAACCUGUUCCAACAAUGCUCUUUCAACGAUACUAUACUACAAGAUAGGUGGAUCUUCACCAAACAGCCAGGAAGUGGAUACAGCUUGGUCCCUUUUUUGUAAUACCUGAAGCUUCAUCAGAUGGUCCUAACAAUGGAAUGACAAGGGGCUCAUGGGAGGAAAUUCGUACAUACCUCAAUUUGAGGUGUUUGCAUCCGUGGCAUUGAAGAGAAGGCUUGAUAAUGGCUUCAGUUUGUAUUAACAUUUAAGUCAUUCCAAGCUUUUCCAUUUGUUAUUGUAAUAUAGUAGUCACAAGCAGCAGCUUCUGCAAUUGUUUGUUUGCGGUAUUAAUUGUAAUUAGUAACAAAUCUCAGUGGUAUUUCAGACUAUAGAAUAUAAGUGUUCAUUUGAUCCCUUUAGUUUUU
Molecule: long non-coding RNA, 2090 nt
Organism: Panicum virgatum (switchgrass)
Lineage: Eukaryota; Viridiplantae; Streptophyta; Magnoliopsida; Poales; Poaceae
Exons: 4
Source: RefSeq, a predicted model, not a curated record